AGGGGGGCUGCUCCUAGUACGAGAGGACCGGAGUGGACGCAUCACUGGUGUUCGGGUUGUCAUGCCAAUGGCACUGCCCGGUAGCUAAAUGCGGAAGAGAUAAGUGCUGAAAGCAUCUAAGCACGAAACUUGCCCCGAGAUGAGUUCUCCCUGAGACCUUGAGUCUCCUGAAGGAACGUUAAAGACUAUGACGUUGAUAGGUCGGGUGUGUAAGCGCAGCGAUGCGUUGAGCUAACCGAUACUAAUGAACCGUGAGGCUUAACCUU
Molecule: ribosomal RNA, 266 nt
Filed under: Enterobacter hormaechei
Lineage: Bacteria; Pseudomonadati; Pseudomonadota; Gammaproteobacteria; Enterobacterales; Enterobacteriaceae
Description: partial 23S ribosomal RNA
Rfam family: Bacterial large subunit ribosomal RNA
Source: RNAcentral